UUUUGGCUGGAUUAGUAACAUCUUUCCUUUGUCUUCAUCCACCAGUGUUCUGGCUUCCCAGAAAGUGUGGAAUAUUGGCCUUCCUUUUCAGAUUCAUGUGAAAGCUUGGAGAAAAGAACACAGGCUAAAAGGAAUAUAAAUCCAAAAGAAUGAGUGAAAUGGGAAUACACAAGGCAUGAUGAGCAAUAAGACUGUUCUCUCAGAAACAAUGAGAAUAACUGCUCUACAGCUUACAAACCAG
RNAcentral lists this long non-coding RNA (241 nucleotides) under Gorilla gorilla gorilla (western lowland gorilla). RNAcentral's name for it is "lncRNA (ENSGGOG00000044415.1)". The record is from RNAcentral. Lineage: Eukaryota; Metazoa; Chordata; Mammalia; Primates; Hominidae.